GAUGAACGCUAGCUACAGGCUUAACACAUGCAAGUCGAGGGGCAGCGGUAUCGAAAGCUUGCUUUCGGUAGCCGGCGACCGGCGCACGGGUGAGUAACGCGUAUCGAACCUGCCUCAUACUCGGGAAUAGCCUUGCGAACGUAAGAUUAAUGCCCGGUGUUUUCAGAGUCCCGCAUGAGGCUUUGAACAAAGAUUUAUCGGUAUGAGAUGGCGAUGCGUCCCAUUAGCUUGUUGGCGGGGGUAACGGCCCACCAAGGCAUCGAUGGGUAGGGGUUCUGAGAGGAAGGUCCCCCACAUUGGAACUGAGACACGGUCCAAACUCCUACGGGAGGCAGCAGUGAGGAAUAGUGGGCAAUGGGCGGAAGCCUGAACCAGCCAAGUAGCGUGCAGGAAGACGGCCCUCCGGGUUGUAAACUGCUUUUAGUUGGGAAUAAAACGGGGCUCGGGAGCCCCCUUGCAUGUACCAUCAGAAAAAGGACCGGCUAAUUCCGUG
Molecule: ribosomal RNA, 493 nt
Filed under: uncultured bacterium
Lineage: Bacteria
Description: partial 16S ribosomal RNA
Rfam family: Bacterial small subunit ribosomal RNA
Source: RNAcentral